Molecule: long non-coding RNA, 707 nt
Filed under: Spirodela polyrhiza (greater duckweed)
Lineage: Eukaryota; Viridiplantae; Streptophyta; Magnoliopsida; Alismatales; Araceae
Description: long non-coding RNA (SPOL_LNC001158)
Source: RNAcentral
AUCUUCCGUACUCUGGAUUUAAUCCACAAGCUCCCCCACCUCAGGCAUACGCGUAUCAGCCACAGUUUUGGCAGCCAAAUAUCCAAAUGCCCGGCCAGAUUCAGGGCCAGUAUCAGAUGACUGCGGGCCAGGGAUUACCUCCCUGGCCCAUGUUCUGGCAAGCACAGAGUCUACCACAGAGCGGUGGAGAUGGAAGUCAGCAUCAAAUAUAUCAAUAUCAUUUGCAGGAUGGCCACGCUAUCUCCCCUGAGUUCUGGCAUUACUACCAGCAGCAGCUGUAUUAUAUGCAGCAUCUGCAGCAAGGUAGCAUCCAGGUGCAGCAGAAGCAGGAGCCUGGCCCGCAGCAGAAAAACGCUCCGUUGCAGCAUGAUCCUCUGCGACAGCAACAACAAGAGGAGCAACAUCAAGAGCAGCAUCUUCAGCUGAACAUCCUUCAGCUGCGGCAUCUACAAAAAAAAAUGGAAAUGGAUCAUUUGCAGUGGCAGGGCCAGCAACAGGAGCUUCGCCAAGCCCAGGAUUCGCAUUUGCAGCAUCAUUCACAGCCACGAUGCCAACCAGACGACUCACCUGAGUCUUCACCCACGCAGGAUCCUCCAAAAACACGACAAGACCAGCUAGAGCAGUAUGUGCAGCACCAAUCCAUUCAGCAGAAGGAUCGGAUGAUCCUGAGCCGCCAGGAACAUCAACAGCAGAUGUACUUGCCACAG